RNAcentral lists this unclassified non-coding RNA (776 nucleotides) under Hevea brasiliensis (rubber tree). Lineage: Eukaryota; Viridiplantae; Streptophyta; Magnoliopsida; Malpighiales; Euphorbiaceae. The record is from RNAcentral.
AAAAAAAAAAGGCCGAUAGUAAAUACAAACUACACUGAUAAGUAAGAAACAGAGAGCAACUCAAAUCAUCAACCAAAUAGCAGUUCACAUUCCUAGAAAACAUUCUCUCUAUUUCACUCAAUAACCACACCUCAGAAGAAGGCAACAAAAAAUUUCUUCCUAAAAUGCUCUCUGAACAAUAACCUCAGCACCAAAUCAACAUCAACUACAAUUUUAAAAACAGGACCCUUUUUUUUCAAAAAAAAAUUGUGCAUUUGUUCUGCACAAUCUCACACAAUUUAAAAUUGGAGCAUCACAUGAGUCUAGACCAAGUAUGAUCUUAAACGGAAAAACCAAACCCUAGCGACAGCCUACAAACUAAUAAAUUUCACAAAAAUUAACCAUUCCUCCUCGUCCUAACCAAAAGAAACAAAAGCUAUAAAGCCGAUCGAAAAUACAACAAAAAUAAGAUCUACAAUACAUCAAUACCAAAGUUAUUAAACACGCACAAUGAAAAAGAUCUUCAAUGUUAUUUCAUGGCACGAGAUCCGAGUUAAAGAAGGACAUCUAUUGUAAUCUCACUUGAUAUAAAUGACAAAAGAAGAAAUUCAAGUGGUCCCCUUCCUUAAACCAAUUGGCUUAGAAGAGGUAAAUUCGCCGUCCCGCAUCUCGUUAUUCACUUUCUAAUUGGAUCGUACAAGAUUCUCGGCAACCAACCAGAGAUUGUAGAGAAGAAAAUGGAGGAUUGAUUAGCAUUUAGAAGAAAAAUUUUACCCGGAUCUUAGCGAGGACGCCCU